This 403-nucleotide ribosomal RNA is filed under the name bacterium. RNAcentral's name for it is "partial 16S ribosomal RNA". It matches the Rfam family "Bacterial small subunit ribosomal RNA", at positions 355 to 776 of the family's 1533-position model. The record is from RNAcentral.
UGGGGAAUAUUGCACAAUGGGGGAAACCCUGAUGCAGCGACGCCGCGUGAACGAAGAAGGUAUUCGUAUCGUAAAGUUCUGUCCUAUGGGAAGAUAUUGACAGUACCAUAGAAGAAAGCUCCGGCUAAAUACGUGCCAGCAGCCGCGGUAAUACGUAUGGAGCGAGCGUUGUCCGGAAUUAUUGGGCGUAAAGGGUACGCAGGCGGUUUAAUAAGUCGAAUGUUAAAGAUCGGGGCUCAACCCCGCAAAGCAUUGGAAACUGAUAAACUUGAGUAGUGGAGAGGAAAGUGGAAUUCCUAGUGUAGUGGUGAAAUACGUAGAUAUUAGGAGGAAUACCAGUAGCGAAGGCGACUUUCUGGACACAAACUGACGCUGAGGUACGAAAGCGUGGGGAGCAAACAGG